RNAcentral lists this ribosomal RNA (253 nucleotides) under uncultured bacterium. Its description in RNAcentral is "partial 16S ribosomal RNA". It matches the Rfam family "Bacterial small subunit ribosomal RNA", at positions 524 to 776 of the family's 1533-position model. The record is from RNAcentral.
UACAGAGGUCUCAAGCGUUGUUCGGAUUCAUUGGGCGUAAAGGGUGUGUAGGUGGCGCCGUAAGUGGGGUGUGAAAUCUCGGGGCUUAACUCCGAAACUGCAUUCCAUACUGCGGUGCUUGAGGACUGGAGAGGAGACUGGAAUUCAUGGUGUAGCAGUGAAAUGCGUAGAGAUCAUGAGGAAGACCAGUGGCGAAGGCGGGUCUCUGGACAGUUCCUGACACUGAGACACGAAGGCCAGGGGAGCAAACGGG